This 371-nucleotide long non-coding RNA is filed under the name Hordeum vulgare. RNAcentral's name for it is "long non-coding RNA (HVUL_LNC021115)". Lineage: Eukaryota; Viridiplantae; Streptophyta; Magnoliopsida; Poales; Poaceae. The record is from RNAcentral.
GUUAGAGUUAACCUUGUUGGUUUAGUGUUUAUCAUACUUUGUUUCCUGCAUGUAGUUGAGGCUGCGAUAGCGUGUGCAUGAAGAAAUAUGAGAACCUGUACACAUGCAAGCCAAGUUGGAUUAGUUAGUCCGGUUAGUCCUUAGUUGAGAUAGUGGAGAGUGGUUGCAUGUGCGGGCAUCCAUCCAUUGAGUAGCAUGCACGUACGUGUGCCGUUGUCUGACCGCGUUCAUCACGUACGUGUGCCGUUGUCUGACCGAGUUCAUGGCUGUUAGUGUGGCCUAGAUGUGGACCGAGUAAUCAGCUAGAGAGGAUGGUGCGGCCGAAUAGCGUGGCCCUGCUAAGAGAGGUUGUUACUCGUAGCCAUAGCUAC